UCGAACGGAGUCUGCAUGAAACCUAGUGAUUGUAGACUUAGUGGCGGACGGGUGAGUAACGCGUGGGUAACCUGCCUUGUACUGGGGGACAACAGUUGGAAACGACUGCUAAUACCGCAUAAGCGCACAGCUUCGCAUGAAGCAGUGUGAAAAACUGAGGUGGUACAAGAUGGACCCGCGUCUGAUUAGCUGGUUGGUGAGGUAACGGCUCACCAAGGCGACGAUCAGUAGCCGGCCUGAGAGGGUGAACGGCCACAUUGGGACUGAGACACGGCCCAAACUCCUACGGGAGGCAGCAGUGGGGAAUAUUGCAUAAUGGGGGAAACCCUGAUGCAGCGACGCCGCGUGAGUGAAGAAGUAUUUCGGUAUGUAAAGCUCUAUCAGCAGGGAAGAAAGAAAUGACGGUACCUGACUAA
This 416-nucleotide ribosomal RNA is filed under the name uncultured bacterium. RNAcentral describes it as "bacterial SSU rRNA". It matches the Rfam family "Bacterial small subunit ribosomal RNA", at positions 62 to 486 of the family's 1533-position model. The record is from RNAcentral.